AUUGAACGCUGGCGGCAUGCUUUACACAUGCAAGUCGAACGGUAACAGGGUGCUUGCACCGCUGACGAGUGGCGAACGGGUGAGUAAUGCGUCGGAACGUGCCGAGUAGUGGGGGAUAACGCAGCGAAAGUUGUGCUAGUACCGCAUACGUACUGAGGUAGAAAGUGGGGGACCUUCGGGCCUCACGCUAUUCGAGCGGCCGACGUCUGAUUAGCUAGUAGGUGAGGUAAAGGCUCACCUAGGCGACGAUCAGUAGCGGGUCUGAGAGGAUGAUCCGCCACACUGGGACUGAGACACAGCCCAGACUCCUACGGGAGGCAGCAGUGGGGAAUUUUGGACAAUGGGCGAAAGCCUGAUCCAGCCAUGCCGCGUGUCUGAAGAAGGCCUUCGGGUUGUAAAGGACUUUUGUCGGGGAGGAAAUCCCCAGCGUUAAUACCGCUGGGGGAUGACAGUACCUGAAGAAUAAGCACCGGCUAACUACGUGCCAGCCGCCGCAGUAA
Molecule: ribosomal RNA, 500 nt
Filed under: uncultured bacterium
Lineage: Bacteria
Description: partial 16S ribosomal RNA
Rfam family: Bacterial small subunit ribosomal RNA
Source: RNAcentral